This 1772-nucleotide long non-coding RNA is filed under the name Triticum aestivum (bread wheat). RNAcentral's name for it is "long non-coding RNA (TAES_LNC026917)". The record is from RNAcentral. Lineage: Eukaryota; Viridiplantae; Streptophyta; Magnoliopsida; Poales; Poaceae.
GGCAGCAGGUGAUUCCUAGUCUGUCAAGACCGAAAAGGGGCAGAGAGUGGCAUUGUUGCAUCAAAUGUUGUAACAAUGAGCAGAUGGUGAGAGCCUUCAUGUGACCAUCAAAUGAUCUUACAUUACUGCAAUUUCACGCACAUCUUCUUUUCCAAGCUUCAUAGUUUCCAUAUAUUAACUACUAAAAAAGGAAACCACUUAUUGUUUAGUUGGUCGGUUGGUUGGUCGUUCGAUAGAUCGAACACUGAGGAAAGGCUGUUAUGAUGCAUUGAUGCCACUUCAUUAAUUUUUUAUGUCAGCCUUUUUUCCUUGUGUUUACGUAUCUUCAGUCUUACUACCUUGCGGAACAGCCCGACAAACCAAAAAUUAUUUGCGUAUGUUUUUUCUUCCUGUGCUAAAUAGUACUGCAGUGACUAGUAUAAGUAUACAAUGAUGUUCCUUUUUGGUCUUUUACUAAAUUACAACUUCUCUGGCACAGAAAUUUGGUGAUUGUAGGACUAGGAACUUGCUACUGGUGUUGCUCAGCAGUCUAUGACAACGAGUUUGUUCCAGAUGGCGGUGAGGUGGCCUUUGUUCCUUUUUGAAAGUAAGAGUUUUGUUGUUUUAGUUCUCUUGUAUAUGUGCAUUAAUUGGACCGUAAAUUACUCCAUUGAGAUAAUUACCUUUUAAUGAUACGAAUGAUGUCUUUACAUCGCAGUAGUUACUUAUUGUUUUCUUUUCCAUCUUGACCAUAAUUUUUCAUAAAGUAUAAACAUACAACUGAUUGAUCUAGCCUCAUUAUGGUGUAUCAUGAGGCCAAGAGAGCAUGUAGAGUGACAAAAAGCAUCUAGUCUUUCCUUAUAAAACAAGACGUACCACUAAAACUUAUGAAGUACUCCCUCCGUUCCGAUUUACUCGUCGUGGUUUUAGUUCAAAUUUGAACUAAAACCACGACGAGUAAAUGGGAACGGAGGGAGUACAAUACACUCUUAAUCCCGUCAUUUUAUUUGUGUAUUAAUGAGUGUAUCUUAAUGUACAAAUAAAACGAUAAAAUUAGGGAGUGUAUCUUACUUUAUAGGUUUCAGUCAUAGUUCUCUUUUUAUAAUGAAAGCAUGAGCGCUUUCUUUGCUCAAUCUCCAUGCUCUCCGGCCUCAUCAUCUGCCAUAAUGAGGUUAGAUCAAAGUUGUACACUUGUACUUACAAAAGUUAUGAAUUUAGGAUCAGAUGAAAAAAAGGAACUAUUGUGACGAUGUAAAGACAUUUUUUUCAUGAAAAGUUAUGCUUGUAGUUGUGCCAAAUUUUGCUCCAAUUAAUGUGUACACAAGAGAACCAAAAAAAAACACACUUACCCAAUGGCGGAGCCAGGAAUAUAGUAUGAGGAGGGCCAAGUGUAGUAAAUCCUUGCUAGGGAGGGCCAGCUCAUAAGAAUACACCAGGUAAAUCAUCCACUUAUUGAUCUUGCCUUGUUGUGGCGGAUCAUGAGGCCAGAGAGCGUAUAGUGUCCAAAAAGGCAUCUAGUCUUUCAUUAUAAAACUAGAACUAUCACUGAAACUUAUAUGAAGUAAAAUACACUACUUAACACUACUAACACCAAAAAGUAUUUCCAUACAGCUAUUUUCUAGAUAAAAUAGCUACCGCGAAGAUAGAUUGGUUUUGCUUCUGAAUCAAUGUGUUGUGUAAUUAUGAAUGCCUCUUUUAUUUGCCAGGUUCCUGAGAUCCUGUAUAGGUCUCUUGAUGUGAACCUUGUGAUUGGAAUGUCUUUCAAGGUCUGACCUUAUAUAGACUUUUGUUUA